GACGAACGCUGGCGGCGUGCCUAAUACAUGCAAGUUGAGCGCUGAAGGUUGGUACUUGUACCAACUGGAUGAGCAGCGAACGGGUGAGUAACGCGUGGGGAAUCUGCCUUUGAGCGGGGGACAACAUUUGGAAACGAAUGCUAAUACCGCAUAAAAACUUUAAACACAAGUUUUAAGUUUGAAAGAUGCAAUUGCAUCACUCAAAGAUGAUCCCGCGUUGUAUUAGCUAGUUGGUGAGGUAAAGGCUCACCAAGGCGAUGAUACAUAGCCGACCUGAGAGGGUGAUCGGCCACAUUGGGACUGAGACACGGCCCAAACCCCUACGGGAGGCAGCAGUAGGGAAUCUUCGGCAAUGGACGAAAGUCUGACCGAGCAACGCCGCGUGAGUGAAGAAGGGUUUCGGAUCGUAAAACUCUGUUGGUAGAGAAGAACGUUGGUGAGAGUGGAAAGCUCAUCAAGUGACGGUAACUACACAGAAAGGGACGGCUAACUACGUG
Molecule: ribosomal RNA, 497 nt
Filed under: uncultured bacterium
Lineage: Bacteria
Description: partial 16S ribosomal RNA
Rfam family: Bacterial small subunit ribosomal RNA
Source: RNAcentral